AUGUUGCCUCAAUCCGAAGGAAAUUAUGCGGAAGCUUUGCAAAAUUAUUAUGAAGCUACGCGACUAGAAAUCGAUCCCUAUGAUCGAAAUUAUAUACUCUAUAACAUAGGCCUUAUACACACAAGCAAUGGAGAACAUACAAAGGCUUUGGAAUAUUAUUUCCGGGCACUAGAACGAAACCCCUUCUUACCGCAAGCUUUUAAUAAUAUGGCCGUGAUCUGUCAUUACGCGCGACUAUCUCCACUAUAG
RNAcentral lists this ribosomal RNA (249 nucleotides) under Triticum aestivum (bread wheat). RNAcentral describes it as "partial small subunit ribosomal RNA". The record is from RNAcentral. Lineage: Eukaryota; Viridiplantae; Streptophyta; Magnoliopsida; Poales; Poaceae.